AUGGCCGCCGCCGAUCGUCUCUCCGUGCUCUCCGACCUCUCAGACGACCUGCUCGCAUCCAUCAUCUCCCUCCUCCCUGCCAGGGAAGCCGCACGCACUGCCGCCGUGUCCCGAAGAUGGCGCCCGCUCUGGCUGCGCACGCACACCCUCAACCUCGACACCAGCUACUACGGCCGCAUGAUCGCCGACUUCCUCGUGAAGGAGCGGCUGCUCCGCGACGCCCACGCCGCUCUCGGCGCCACCGGCCGGUGCCUCGUCAGGAGGCUCUCGCUGUUGGUGACCGAACCCAGCAAAGACAAAGGUUACGACACGUACGGUUGGAUGCCCAAGAAGCCGAGCCACGACACCUACGACCUCACGGCCUCCUUCCUCGCCGCCCCAGCGCUGCGGCACGUCGAGGAGCUCCGCGCCGGGAUCGUGUUAAACAAGGACGACGUGCCCGUGUUCAAGCGGAAGAAAGAAGAGCAGGCGCUCCUCGUGUACAAGCUCGAACAGGCCGACCUGAACCUCGGACGGACGUAUGUUCAAGACUGUUCCGUCGGGUACCAGGGCCUCCUCUGCUGUCUUCAGCACGCCAAGGUUCUUAGAUUGAAGCUGCCGAACAUCAAGAGCCUCACCGGCGUACUGGUCAAGCUGGUCCGUCUGGAACGGUUGGAGCUCGAAGGGGGAUUGACAUGGCCAAGAGACGAUGCAGCCGAGGCCGAGGCUAUCACGGACCUUCUGCAAUGCUGCCCCGUGAUCCACGGCCUGCGGAUUCGGAUUUUGCCAAAUCCUUAUGAUGAUGCCAGGAGAAGGAAUAAUGUAUCUUUACGAGAUUUUGACGUGUCUAUGGACUUGUUCGGGAAGCGUGACUCGGAAGAGAUGGUUCCCCUCAUGCUCGACGGCGACACUAGUGCCAUAGAAGUUGUCCCGAAGCUCCCGGGCUUGACCGGUCGCCAGUUCGAUUGCUUGCAGAGUCAUCUGAAAAUUGUGAGGUUGGAGUUUGAGGUGACGGAGCUGAGUAGUUUUGAGGUUUGCCUUGCCAGGUUCUUUGCGGAGAACUGUAUUGCCCUUGAGGUCCUCGAAGUCGAUGAUGGAAAGCAAAGGUUUUUCAGCCAUAUCGGUUGGAUUGUAGAGAGAUGGACAGCUAAUGCGUCGAAACUGAGGAAACAAAUGGAACGAGAUUCUCCUCAAGAGGAAGAGGCGAUGGUGAGCGUGAAAAGGAAAAAGGAUGAUGGUCUACAGCGCAACGUUAAAAAUCAAAUGUUAGGUCUUGUAAGAGUGAAAGAUAACCGAAAGUGCCUAUGUGAGCCCGAGCUCCUGUACGCUCGCUAUCUGUGCCGCUGCUUUGCCCCGAGAUGCUCGUCAUAA
RNAcentral lists this ribosomal RNA (1350 nucleotides) under Triticum aestivum (bread wheat). RNAcentral describes it as "partial small subunit ribosomal RNA". Lineage: Eukaryota; Viridiplantae; Streptophyta; Magnoliopsida; Poales; Poaceae. The record is from RNAcentral.